CACACAGAAAGAGACUGAGAGACAGAGAGAGGCUGAGAGACACAGAGACUGAGAGACACAGAGAAAGAGAGACUGAGAGACACAGAGAAAGAGACGGAGAGAGAAAGAGCUGCUUGCACUCUGUUGGCCAGAGGGAGAACUAACUCCUUUUCCCCUUUCUCUGCUUAGAGCUGGUAGCUGGUCUGAAGGUGAAGCUGCUGGCAGUUCGCUCUUUGUUGGGAACAGUGGCUAAGGAAGUGGUUUGCUACUGGCUUCUGGAACUGGGCUCUGCAGCCUUUAUCCUCCACAGCUGAUUCACAUACUUUUGAUUCUUGCUGAGAAAGGCAGUUGUUAGAUUUGGAAGUUUUCAGAUUCCAGCGCCAGCUGGACAGCUGACCCUCUGGUAAUUGUUUCCCCAACUGCCAGCCCUCUGUUGCCUCAUCUCCCUGGGCCCCUUCUUUUCGACUUUGAAGCCAUAUCCUAUAUUUAGUGAACUAGCCAGUUAGGGGUUGGAGGAGGAUUGACGGGGAGUCUCUCCUCCCUCAGAAUUCUGGGUGGAUGGAGUAUUUGGGCCUAGGAACAAGAUGUAUCCUGCUUAAAAACUUUAACCCCUUUGUCGGGCAUGCUCAGGUGACAGCUUACAGUGCUAAGAAUGUGCCUCUCUCUAGCUCAUGAGUAAGGAAGGAGCAGUGUUUAUUUUUGGGUGUCCUGAAGAAAAUAUUUGGGAGAAGGAGUGGGGAGAAGCCCAGACAGCUCCAUUUAUGGUUGAGCAAUGCUUGGUAUUCUACAGAGGGACCGUAUGGGCCGCGGGGAAGAGCUUAGCAGUCUCGUUGUUCACCUCUUGCUCCCUCCAUUCAGGGAUGAUCAGGGACACCGUAUUAGCCAUCACAGUGGGACAGGUGUUCCUUGGGCCGACACGAGCCUCACCCUCAAAUCCCGGGCGUCUUCUGCUCCGCCAGCCUGCUGAAUCACCACCCAGGAAUGGCGGUAGCCAGGAUGCCUCCUGCAGUGCCUGGAGCACUCUCGGCAUGGUGCGCCAUUGACUGGUCUUGGUCUCCUAGACACGGCCCGGGCCUCUCCAGGCCUGCUGGAGUGAUAGGCUGGGUCUUAGCUCCCCCUCCAGCUUGUUCCACAAGGCGAUGACCUACUUUUCAGAGACAACUAAGUGUUUGUGAGCAGAAGAAGGCGGUGACCUGAGUGAAGGUGAACCAGAGCUGCAUUAAACAAACAUUGGGAGUUACUUUUUUGUGUCUCGCAUAGCAGGGCCCACCCACCUCAGUCCCAAUGGAACGGCUGACCAGGCUGAUGUGUGGGGGCCAAGUUCCAGAAGCUUAUGAAGAUAGGCAGCCACCCUUGAAUGCUCGUUUCUUCCAUCGAUGUACUUUAGUGUAAGAGAGAGCCUUUUAUAAUGAUUGUACACUUUGUCUUUUGGGUGAUAGGCGAAGGCUUGAAAGGAAGUUGGGGCUCUUACAGUGAGUCAGCGCUAUAAGCCAGCAGUCCCUUCUGGUGACAGUAUUCUACUUCAUUUGUAGCCCCUCUGAGAGGAUUUGUAUCUUUUUCUUUUGUACAGGCUGGGAUAAUAAGCUGGAUGGGAGCCCAGAUCUUUAGGGAACAAGUGAGUAGCUUGUUUAGGUUUUCCUGUCCUUGUGAGACAAGGUUUAGAUUCAGUUUUUGCAAGUGAAAGGAAGUGAACUCACUUUUCUCUUCCCUGGAUGUCACUUACCUUAUUACCAGACCUCCAACUUCUGCUUCCCUGUUGAAUAUGAUUAUUAUACUCGAGUUGUCAUCCUUACAGUUGUAAGUUAGCACUGGGGGAAGGAUCCAAGGCCCUGACAUGAGAUGGACAGUGACUCUUGUCCUAUAUCAGCUGGCUCUAGGGCCCUGGGGGAAUUGCUAAACUUGCGAUUGGGCCAUUGCCUAAACUUUUCUUUUCAGCAACUCCACACACAUGACAACUCCCAAAUCGCCCUAUUAAUAAAAAGAAGAGUUACUGAUGUUGUACCCAGAGAUACAGAUCAAAUCUUAAAGUCCAGGAAGGAAGAUGCUUAGGAGAAGAAUUCAACCCUGCCACUCUCUCCCUGGAAUUCCUCCUGAUAACCUUAGAGGUGUCAGUCCCAUUUGAAGAACUAGUUUACAUAUCAGAGCAGGGCUUGGAAGGCAGCAUGGCAUCAAUGUUGGUCUUGUAGAUGGCUAAGUUUCUUGGGGAAGAGAUUUGAGGUGACCUGAAAUUGCCCCCGCUCCUCCUAGGAAUCCCAGAAUCUGGUCACAACCUCCUUUCUUCCACUUUUCCCAUCCCUUUAUGCCCAGGAAGCCUGGUCUCUGCUUAUUUCGUAGUCUCUCAGCCUCUUCGUGGUGUCAUUGUCCUCCCAUCUGUCCUACAUGGCCACUCUUGCACUGACGUUCUCAGGUCUCUUUCUUUCUGCCACACCUUCCUGUCCUUCCCGGCAGAGCCGGACCCAUGUUCACUUUCCCCACGGAGCUGCUGAGUUCUGCUGCAUAGCAUUGUGCUGACGGGCUCCUUCACAGGUUCAUGAGCUCCAGCCAUAGCUUGACUCUCAACCCUGCCCUGAAAUCUCUCUGUUCUCUCCUGGGUGACUCCCAUUCCUUUUCCUUUACAGCAGCUAUUCCAGACUUGCACCACUCUCCUUCAACUUGCUGCUCCACCCCACCUUGUAAACUCUCAGCAAGCCAUUUAGCCUUUUACUGUCCACAGCUCUGCCUCUCAGCUUAUCUGUAAUCUUCCCCAGUCCUCACCACAUUCCGUCUUGUUUCAGAGGCAGUCCUCUGGGCAUGUACAUAGUUUGUAUUCUUAGUGUCUCCCCACCUAAUGACUCUUCAUAAGUUUUCUCCAUCCUAAGGAAGAAACAUCUUUUAAGCUGUCUCUUCUUCGACCUAACUCUGCUUUUUAUUUUUUUAAGCCCCUAAACCUCUUUAAUAGCCUUUCUUAUAUUCCUUUAGUCAUCUUGACCCACGAUAGCAUGGCUUUUGUGCUCGUCGGCCCAGCUGAAAUCGCUCUCACUUACGAUGACCUACCUUCAGAAUUCACUGUUUCUUUUCAGUUCUCAUGUUUGACCUUGUUACAGCUUUUUUUUUUUAAAUUUAUUUAUUUAUAUUUAUUUUGUCUGCACCAGAUCUUAGUUGUGGUGCUCGGGAUCUUCGUUGAGGCGUGCAUGCAGAAUCUAGUUCCCCAAGUAGGGAUCGAACAUGGGCCCACUGCAUUGGGAGCCUGGAGUCUUACCCACUGGACCACCAGGGAAAUCCCAGAUAUGUGGUAUUUUGU
Molecule: long non-coding RNA, 3259 nt
Organism: Aethalodelphis obliquidens (Pacific white-sided dolphin)
Lineage: Eukaryota; Metazoa; Chordata; Mammalia; Artiodactyla; Delphinidae
Exons: 3
Source: RefSeq, a predicted model, not a curated record